CACGUAGGGCGCGAGCGUUGUCCGGAAUUACUGGGCGUAAAGAGCUCGUAGGCGGUUUGUCGCGUCGUCUGUGAAAACUCGAGGCUCAACCUCGAGCUUGCAGGCGAUACGGGCAGACUUGAGUACUGCAGGGGAGACUGGAAUUCCUGGUGUAGCGGUGAAAUGCGCAGAUAUCAGGAGGAACACCGGUGGCGAAGGCGGGUCUCUGGGCAGUAACUGACGCUGAGGAGCGAAAGCGUGGGUAGCGAACAGG
Molecule: ribosomal RNA, 253 nt
Filed under: uncultured bacterium
Lineage: Bacteria
Description: partial 16S ribosomal RNA
Rfam family: Bacterial small subunit ribosomal RNA
Source: RNAcentral